CUCUUUUUGAAUAUAAUUUAAAGUUGGGCCUGCCCACUGAAAUUUUGAAGGGCCGCAGUAUUUUGACUGUGCAAAGGUAGCAUAAUCAUUAGUUUUUUAAUUGAAAGCUUGUAUGAAUGGUUUGAUGAGAAAAUUUCUGUCUCAAUUUUAUUUUUUUAUAACUUUAUUUUUAAGUUAAAAAGCUUAAAUUUAUUAAAAAGACGAGAAGACCCUAUAGAGUUUAAUUUAAAAAGUAUUUUUUUAUUAAAGGAUUUUUUAUAUUAAUAAUAAUUUUUAAAUUGUGUUGGGGUGACAGAAAAAUUAAAUAAACUUUUUUUAAAAUAAAACAUUAAUUUAUGAGUUUUUGAUCCAUAAAAAUGAUUAAAAGAAUAAAUUACCUUAGGGAUAACAGCGUAAUCUUUUUUGAGAGUUCUUAUUUAAAAAAGGGAUUGCGACCUCGAUGUUGGAUUAAAAUUUAUUUUUGGUGUAGAAGCUAAAAAAUUAGGUCUGUUCGACCUUUAAAAUUUUACAUGAUCUGAGUUUAAACCGGUGUAAGCCAGGUUGGUUUCUAUCUUUUAAAAAUUUAAAUGUUUUAGUACGAAAGGAUCAAAUAUUUUAUUUAAAAUAUAAAAAUUGAAUAAAAUUUUUAUUUUGGCAGAAUAGUGCGAAGGAUUUAGAAUCUUUUUAUGUAAUUUAUUACAAAUAAUAAUUGAUUUAGUUUUAAUUUUUUUGAAUUUUUUAAUUUUAGUGAUUGGGGUUUUAGUUGGUGUUGCUUUUUUAACUUUAUUAGAACGAAAACUUUU
Molecule: ribosomal RNA, 782 nt
Filed under: Epilachna sp. KS169
Lineage: Eukaryota; Metazoa; Arthropoda; Insecta; Coleoptera; Coccinellidae
Description: partial 16S ribosomal RNA
Rfam family: Archaeal large subunit ribosomal RNA (bases 1-579)
Source: RNAcentral